UACGUAGGGUGCAAGCGUUAAUCGGAAUUACUGGGCGUAAAGCGCGCGCAGGUGGUUCCUUAAGUCUGAUGUGAAAGCCCCCGGCUCAACCGGGGAGGGUCAUUGGAAACUGGGGAACUUGAGUGUAGAAGAGGAAAGUGGAAUUCCACGGUGUAGCGGUGAAAUGCGUAGAGAUGUGGAGGAACACCAGUGGCGAAGGCGGCUCACUGGGCUGACCUUGACGCUGAGGCGCGAAGGCGUGGGGAGCGAACGGG
This 254-nucleotide ribosomal RNA is filed under the name uncultured bacterium. RNAcentral describes it as "partial 16S ribosomal RNA". It matches the Rfam family "Bacterial small subunit ribosomal RNA", at positions 524 to 776 of the family's 1533-position model. The record is from RNAcentral.